RNAcentral lists this long non-coding RNA (386 nucleotides) under Homo sapiens (human). RNAcentral describes it as "HSALNT0379905". The record is from RNAcentral. Lineage: Eukaryota; Metazoa; Chordata; Mammalia; Primates; Hominidae.
GGUAGUCCUCCUGGAUUUUCUGCCUUCUUCUUUAAUUUUUCAGAUCCUUUGGCAUUUGAGAGUUGCUUUGUGUAUACGGCCCUUUAAUGGAGCAAAUGGCCAGCCAGGAAACCAAAGUAUGGACAAGGGGAAAGAAGCAUCUGUGGAGGAAGUUUUACAAGCGACCCUCCUCAUCCAUCAACACGGAGAUGCAUUGACACCCUUCUUCAAUCCAGAGGAUGGGCCAUCAACUCACAAAAGUACAAGGCCUGGAACCAGCUGCAAAGUUCCUAUGGAUCACUUGGCCAGGUUAGAGUUCAGUGGUGUGAUCUUGGCUUACCUCAACCUCUGCCUCCCAGGUUCAAGGACUUCUCUUGCCUCAGCCUCCCAAGUGGCUGGGAUUAUAG